AGCUUGCUAUAAUAUAACCUAGUGGCAGACGGGUGAGUAAUGUAUAGGAAUCUACCUAGUAGUACGGAAUAAUUAUUGGAAACGAUAACUAAUACCGUAUACGCCCUACGGGGGAAGAUUUAUUGCUAUUAGAUGAGCCUAUAUUAGAUUAGCUAGUUGGUGGGGUAAUGGCCUACCAAGGCAGUGAUCUAUAGCUGAUCUGAGAGGAUGAUCAGCCACACUGGAACUGAGAUACGGUCCAG
RNAcentral lists this ribosomal RNA (242 nucleotides) under uncultured bacterium. RNAcentral describes it as "partial 16S ribosomal RNA". It matches the Rfam family "Bacterial small subunit ribosomal RNA", at positions 77 to 334 of the family's 1533-position model. The record is from RNAcentral.